AUCCACACGUGUUUGGAGGAGUUGAAGAAGAGGAUGAAGCACACAGACCGCUAAGGAGGAGAGACAUGGCUCCUAUAUUUCUCUUUAACAUUCUGGAGUCCUGGAGUAAAACAACGUUGACGACCCCGCAGCUAAACCAUCAGUCUGCUCCACCCAGUAGAAGAAGAUGAGGUCAUCUGUUCCUUGGACCGGCGCCUCUGUGUCUGUUGGACGUCAGUAGAUGGGCGCUGACAUGGAGGUUCCUUCCUGUUUGAAGCUAGUUUUCCUCUCUACUGUGACCACUUCAUUGCUCAGGAGGGACUGCUGCAAAAUUAACGACUGGAUGUGAUUGGCUGAGCUUCCUUGGACUGAAGACAUUUCUCUAAACACCAUAAUAAGCUGAAUUUAUCUUCCCCAUGUUGUAAAUAGGAUUGGACUGGACUGGAUGUUUGUUUUUCAAUUUGAUUCUGUUUGUGUUGAAUUCUGUUACAUGUUUCUGUAUUAAAGCUGUCAUGUUAAUUGCCUUUAGAUGACAUUUGUUGGGACUUGUUUCUAUUUUAUAAGACUGUAUUAUAAUAAAUCCCCCUACUGGGUCUGGUUCUGUUGAAGUACUGUAUGUUUCCUGUCGUUCUAUCUUCUCCUGUUAUUUCUCACUAUAAUAAAGGUUUGAUUCAAGUCA
Long non-coding RNA from Cyprinodon tularosa, 658 nucleotides. RefSeq lists it as uncharacterized. NCBI's taxonomy places the organism in Eukaryota, Metazoa, Chordata, Actinopteri, Cyprinodontiformes, Cyprinodontidae. The record is from RefSeq and is a predicted model, not a curated record. The transcript has 3 exons.